RNAcentral lists this unclassified non-coding RNA (290 nucleotides) under uncultured Cortinarius. RNAcentral describes it as "sequence contains ITS2". The stretch from base 1 to 52 matches the Rfam family "5.8S ribosomal RNA", at positions 103 to 154 of the family's 154-position model. Lineage: Eukaryota; Fungi; Basidiomycota; Agaricomycetes; Agaricales; Cortinariaceae. The record is from RNAcentral.
AACGCACCUUGCGCUCCUUGGUAUUCCGAGGAGCAUGCCUGUUUGAGUGUCAUUAAUAUAUCAACCUCCUCACCUUGUUGAGUGUUGGAUGUGGGGGUUCUUUCUUUGCUGGCUUCACCGUCAGCUCCCCUGAAAUGCAUUAGCAGAACAACGUGUUCACUUGUUCAUUGGCGUGAUAACUAUCUACGCUUGGUGACAGUGAAGCAAGUUCAGCUUCUAACAGUCCAUUAAAUUGGACAAAUUUUUAUUAAUGUGACCUCAAAUCAGGUAGGAUUACCUGCUGAACUUAA